Molecule: long non-coding RNA, 539 nt
Filed under: Chinchilla lanigera (long-tailed chinchilla)
Lineage: Eukaryota; Metazoa; Chordata; Mammalia; Rodentia; Chinchillidae
Description: lncRNA (ENSCLAG00000024004.1)
Source: RNAcentral
GCUCCCUCGGCCAUGAUCCCUUCCUCUUCCUCACUUUCAGACUCUGCCUUGCUGCUAGGUAGAUGAGGAACUACCAACGACAUCUCUCCAGGGCACUGGAAGUGUUUCACGAAAUCUCUGGGUCUCAACAAUAAUGUACUUCGAAAAGGAGGCUGAUUACGUUGACUGAAAUUCAUCCUGGCAAAAGGCCUUUGCUGCAGCUGGUUCCAUUUACAUUUUGUAUUUUUGGAGCUUGUGCCUGUUCCAGGGAGGGAUGGGAUAAUUGAUUUAAAUCAAAUUAUGAAACGUGAUACUCUGAAUUCCUAAAAACAUGUUUCCUGGCACUGCCUUCAGCAACGGAGCCUCACAGAACUCUCCAGUGGAACUUGAGAAAACAAUUCUUUCUCCAAAUACUGUGACUGACUAAUUGUAGUCCCUGGAACCAUCCAGAUAGCUGGGUUCAAAUUGCACCACUGUAGCUGUGACUGCUUUUGCAACUUUUGGUAAGAUAUUUAAUUCCUGAGUGCCUCAGUUUUUUAUUUGUGAAAUAACACCAACCA